RNAcentral lists this ribosomal RNA (397 nucleotides) under uncultured bacterium. Its description in RNAcentral is "partial 16S ribosomal RNA". It matches the Rfam family "Bacterial small subunit ribosomal RNA", at positions 523 to 918 of the family's 1533-position model. The record is from RNAcentral.
AUACGAAGGGUGCAAGCGUUACUCGGAAUUACUGGGCGUAAAGCGUGCGUAAGCGGUUGUUUAAGUCUGUCGUGAAAGCCCUGGGCUCAACCUGGGAAUGGCGAUGGAAACUGGGCGACUAGAGUGUGGCAGAGGGUAGUGGAAUUCCUGGUGUAGCAGUGAAAUGCGUAGAGAUCAGGAGGAACAUCCGUGGCGAAGGCGACUGCCUGGGCCAACACUGACACUGAGGCACGAAAGCGUGGGGAGCAUACAGGAUUAGAUACCCUGGUAGUCCACGCCCUAAACGAUGCGAACUGGAUGUUGGGUGCAAUUUGGCACGCAGUAUCGAAGCUAACGCGUUAAGUUCGCCGCCUGGGGAGUACGGUCGCAAGACUGAAACUCAAAGGAAUUGACGGGG